UAUGAUACUGAGGGCCUGAGGUUCCCCACUAUUGGAGGAAAAAUAUGAAGGUUCCUCUCCACCAGCUGUGCCUUGGCCAGAACGAUCGAGUAAGUACUAAGCUCAAAUACAUACAUCUGCUGCCUAAUCUCAAGAUGGAGGCCCCACUCAAACUUUCUUGCCUUUCUGUCUUCAUCCAUCAUGCUCUCAGAGGAAUACCGACCCAAUUCUAGGAACUUUCAGGUAUAUUCUGAUAUAAU
This 239-nucleotide long non-coding RNA is filed under the name Carica papaya (papaya). RNAcentral describes it as "long non-coding RNA (CPAP_LNC003216)". The record is from RNAcentral. Lineage: Eukaryota; Viridiplantae; Streptophyta; Magnoliopsida; Brassicales; Caricaceae.